AACGAACGCUGGCGGCAGGCCUAACACAUGCAAGUCGAGCGCCCCGCAAGGGGAGCGGCGGACGGGUGAGUAACGCAUGGGAACGUACCCUUUGCUACGGAAUAGCCUCGGGAAACUGGGAGUAAUACCGUAUGUGUCCUUCGGGAGAAAGAUUUAUCGUCAAGGGAUCGGCCCGCGUUGGAUUAGGUAGUUGGUGGGGUAAUGGCCUACCAAGCCGACGAUCCAUAGCUGGUUUGAGAGGAUGAUCAGCCACACUGGGACUGAGACACGGCCCAGACUCCUACGGGAGGCAGCAGUGGGGAAUCUUAGACAAUGGGCGCAAGCCUGAUCUAGCCAUGCCGCGUGAGCGAUGAAGGCCUUAGGGUUGUAAAGCUCUUUCAGGGGGGAAGAUAAUGACUGUACCCCCAGAAGAAGCCCCGGCUAACUCCGUG
Molecule: ribosomal RNA, 431 nt
Filed under: uncultured bacterium
Lineage: Bacteria
Description: partial 16S ribosomal RNA
Rfam family: Bacterial small subunit ribosomal RNA
Source: RNAcentral